Corvus hawaiiensis (hawaiian crow) is the source of this 5280-nucleotide long non-coding RNA. RefSeq lists it as uncharacterized. The transcript is spliced from 3 exons. The record is from RefSeq and is a predicted model, not a curated record. Lineage: Eukaryota; Metazoa; Chordata; Aves; Passeriformes; Corvidae.
UUCACCCUGGAGGACAAAAGCAAAGUUGAAAUCAGGAUUUGUGCAGCACACAGUGGUUGUAACACAAUGAGCACGACCAGUUCUGGGGGGGUUUAAACCCCGUGAUCACACAACCGAAUUUGCCAACAAGCAGCUCCCCUUAGUGGCCAACAGGGAACAGACCUGAAGGCUCUGCUUUUCACUCAAGCCCUUCCUGUGGGCCAAGGAGAAGCACAGUCCAGAUUUUUGGAAUUGUUUUAAGGUUGCUACCACAGGUAAAUGGGGCACAGAGGCAGGAACUCGUUCCUCCUGUCUGGGUCUUGUCUGCCAAGGCAAUCAGAUCUGGGACUUCUGUGCUGCUUUAUUCAUUUGCAGACCUCAGGAGCCACCUCACCACUGCCUGUUUGUUUACACACAGCCCAGUUAACCCCACCUUUGGUUAGAAUUUGCCAUGCACAGGACAACUCUAGAAAGGAACAAGGAGAUGUACAAAAAAACCCCUAGUGGCUGUUUGUGUCAGAACUCAGGUUUGGAAAAUCCUCUACAAUUUUGAUCACUGGGGAGGUUCAGGUAGGGAAAUGUUUGUGUUGCUUCUGAUUUCUUAAAUCUUCCUUUGUUUUUUUUCUUAAAAAAAGGAGGAGUUUAAGAAACUUAGUGGCAGCAAUUCUCAAAAGUGUAAAGCUCAAUUAAUCCAUGCACCUUUCUGCACAGACUGUCUCUGACCAGAUUGUUCAGAAACAAUCCACGUGCAAAUGUUACUGAAAGCAUCCCAAGUGCAGCUGAAACUCUCAGAGAGCCCAAAGAAAAGGCUAAGCUGGAGUUCCUUUCAAAUUUUAAUAAUAGUUAAUGAGUGAAUCAGCAGUUGGGGUUUAAAUUUUAUCAAUAUAAUAGCAAUUUUACACAUGGGUUAUGGAGCAAUCAUGAAUGACUUGUUAAAAUAUCAUUUCAGGCAAUUUCAAAGUGCAACUAUUUUAUAAAUUUCCCAAACUAAAGAGAUGAAUGGCCUAAGAUGUGAGAGGCAUACAGACAUGAGAGGCAUACAGAAAUAUAUGUAAGUAGCCUUCCCUUUCAGAAAACCACAAACCAGUAUCUAGGACAUACCAUGGACAGUGAUGAUCCAUUUUUAGCACACACCUGCAAAAGGACAAAAAAGAAAAAUGGAAAAUGUUUAUUGGUACUUCAUUACCAACUGCAGAUCAGUAGUAAAACCUUUGAUUUUUGAGAGAUUUCUACAUGACAGAAGUUUUUUAAGGUACAUAAAAUUUUAAGAUGGAACAUUUCUUAGAGUUUGAAGACCAACUAAUGUCCUUGGUUCUUGUGUUAGAUAAAGAGACAUGAACAUGAUUCCUGCCCUAGAGCACUGCUGGCUGCAGCAGGAGCAGAGACCCUGGGGCACCUUUGAGUAAAAAGGCACAUGAAGGAGCAGCCCACUCACAGAACCUCGUGGUGACUGCACUUGGGUGAAGGACAGCCCAUAACUUACAUGGCACAAACAGAGCAAUGGUGACAACGAUCAGGUUUGAUCAGCUGGCAUCUGUCACAGAACCGAAUCCCUGGAAUUAGAGACAAAUUAACACCAAAUAAUGGAAAAGUGCUCUUUUUUCAUGGGUUAGUUGAUCCUGUGCUCAUUUCCUAACUAUUCUUUUUCCUUCCUCUAUCGCUGCAGCAGGUGACUGGGUUUGCAGCUGGUGUUUGCUGCCAGGUCACAAUCAGCUUCCUGGCGAUCUCGGCGAGGAUCUGCCUCUGCACCUCGGGCCUCUCCUCGUUCUCGUAGCGCUCCUGGUCAGCGUAGGACAUGUGGAACUGCAAGCAGAGGCCACGAGAGGAGCAGUUACCCAUGGGGAGCAGAGGGAGCAUUUCAAACACAGUUUCUCUGUAGCAAUUUCAAACAUUAGAAGUGCUCUAUAGGGGAAAGAGAAUUUACUGGAUACAGCAAUCUGAAGGAUCUGUAAAUGUCAGCUGGCACUGCUCUUCAUGGAACAACUUACACUACACCUACUUCUGUCCUUCAUAACCCCAGAAGAAGAAAGUCACCGAGAGAACACUUGGAUUAGCCAAAAGCAUCCAAAGCUCCUCCAGGAAAGAAGGGGAAGAACGUUACAGCAGCCACUGACUCCUUAUUCCUCCAACAUGGCCAUCGUCUUCACCAACACACCGGUCAUUGAGCAAUCCUACUGUGCUAUGACUCAACUUCUGUUAGUGGGCACCAGAACUGAGAAAAAAAACUUUAUCAAAAAUAGCUUUCACUGAAAGAUCAAAUGGAACAGCGAAAAAAACCAAGUGGGCUGCAGAUAGGAACUAGUAUUUUCUGUUUGGCUUGUAAAAUCGGCUCUGGAACUGUGUAAGGGAAAGGGAGAAGAGGCGUGUGGGUGUGCACAGACACACAGAGCUUUUCCUGAAGACUCAGAGGAUCAAAGCUUUUCCAUGUUCUGCCCAUACUGUGACUAAACAGGGCAUUUCUCGAUGCACCCAGAAGGUGCAGCAUGCUGUGUAUCCUCAGGAGGGUGCAAUUACAGGAAAAAAACACUGAAAGAGGAUGCACCUUUAAAAAAUUAACAGCAAAUAUUUCUGGUAUUUCACCCAGAACAUUUGUGAAUCCUUUUACACAAGGAUUGAAUGUCAAAUAAUAAAUUAUCACACGUACCUUUUUCCACAGGGUUGCUCACAGUCACUGGAAAAGAAAAAAAAAACGUGUCCAGAAAGCAAAUAGGAAUCCCAGAGAAGUUUGUGACAAAUAACAUUUCUAUGUGAAAUACAGCCAUUUUAGGAAAAAACCUUCAAAUUCAAGAGGCAAAGAGAGAACCCACAGUUCAGCAUCAAAUCAAAAGCAUCCGUAACAACUCUUCUUCACUCACGCACACCCCCACAGCAAGAUGUUCAGUAACUGUUGCUUGUGCUGUAUUUUCUGCUGUAUUUCUAUAUAUUCUGUAUAUUUUGCAUUAGAAAUACGACACAACCAAUCCUCUGGUGACAGUGAUAAGAUCACCAGGGCUCCUCUAGCACCUGUCCAAGAUUUAUCCCUCUGCAUUUACCACAUACUCAAGGCUGCUUUCUACUCCAGGUUGUCUUGACCCUCCACUGUAAGCACUGUCCCAAAGCAUUUCUGCAUCAGAAUAAUUAAGAAGUCAUAAAUUUCUCAGCUUUGGCCGAGUCAGCAACUGCAAUGACUCCAUUGUUUUUACACUUCCUACCAGCAGAAAUUUUACAACGCCUUCUUGCUUCACCAAAAUGAGAGAAAAGCCCCUACUAACAGAAGCCCUUUGAGCAACCAGCAAAAGGUACAUUGUUCAAUGUCUGCUUGUAAUGACUAUUUGAAAAUCCAUCUAUUAUUUUAAAAGCCAGCAUCCAAGUUUAACAGAAGAGACAAGGACAGCUUUCUUGAACUGAAAACAGAGAGUUCUGUGAUAUUUUGACAGAGCACUGCUUGGAAGACAAAGCUCUGUGACACACAGAAGCGUAGAUGAAAAAAUAAACUGCAUCUUUGCUGUGUCUCUGCCCACUCAAUUUCAGGUAAACAAGACUGUUAGGAAAUCUUUAGUUUUUCCUUUGCUUUGCUGCCAGUCAAGCAAUGAUGAGCUUUUCACAAACACUGCCCAGCUCCCUCCUGACCACACCUGCAGCAGGGCCUCGCAAAGGAUUUUACUUGAGAAAAGACCAUAAAGACAGAUGAUAUAAAAGGUUCUAUGGCAGGAUCACUGUUGUCACUGUGGCAGCAACCACCAGCCAAAUGAAAACUGAGGCCUCCUCCUAUGACUCACUGGCCACCCCAGCCACUGAGAGCUCAAACCCAGCAUCAGGAGGUGCCUCCCAGACAUCACCCCCACAGCACUUUCAGUGCUCGGCACAACUGAAGAUGCAAACCAAGGUUCCAGACAAAGCAUUCACUAUUUACAUGCUCCCAGCAGCUGAGAAGAGGCAGCCAGCUCAGCAAGCCUUGCUGUGUUAGAAAUCUGGAGAGACACAAUGUCCUGGGAGAUGGUUGGCAAGAAACAGCACAGGCCAACAGUUCAUGCUUAAAUCCUGAAAUAAUUCAGUCAUUUCAGCUUCUGCAGAGGUAAACUCCUCCACACACAAAUAAAAGAGAUGAGAGAGAAAUGGGGCAAAAAAAAAGAUAGGCAGGUGUGGGCAAAUGAAUGAUUUUAAGCAGUGAUUCCAGGCAGCAAGCUGAGCUCCUGCCAGCUGACCCAGCAUUUGCAGAGCAGCACAGCCCCAAUCCAAACCCCACUCAAAUCACCUGAGUCUCCUCUAACAGCUGCACUGAGACCUGGGAUCAGCCCGUGUUCAGUAUCACUGAAUUUACACAGCACAUUUCAAAAGACUGACAGCAUUCAGGAAAACACUCUACAUUUUUCGUCUUGGAUGUUCCAAUACCAUUGUUCUUAAACUUGGAUGUUCUAAUGACAGUUACAUGCACCUCAGAGAUAUCAUUCUAUGUGAAUUCUUGAAAGAAACAGCCCACAGCCUCAGAGAUGGGAUAAAUGUGAUGGAGUGUUUGGGGGCUUUGCCAAGCUGCUGAUUAAAACAGACCACAGAAGCUGCAUUUCAUUCUAGUUCCCAUCAAGAGAAAACAACAGGUCUCACUGCAUUGCCAACCUUAACACACACCUGAUUUAUGUUUGUGCAGCACCAGAAGGCAGCUCCUGCCCCAGGAACAUCUCAGACUGUCCUUUCUGGGACCUCUGGUUUCCUUUAUCUGCCUUACUCUGUCCUGAGGAGCCACAUCUCCUCACAAUUUCACAAAUCCAAGCUUCCAGCUCUUCUCUCCACCAGACCUGCCAACCCUUUUUUUCUAGUAGCACACUCAACCAGAAAUAACAAACAGAAGAAAGUUUAUAACUUACUAUAGAGUUAAAUUGCUACAUUAAAUAUACAAUUACCAGACAGCAUAAAACUUCCUUUUCUAAAAGGUAGUGUUUUCAGUGCUACUGUAAUAAUUCCACUCCUGAGUGGGAUUUCACGUAACCUCUUUCUUUCCUUUACAGACUAUAAAUAUAAAACCAUGGUAAGGCAGGGCACAGACUGACGUUUGUUACCGCUUAGCUCAUAAAUCACAUCUGGACGUUAUCAAAUCACAACACUGGCUUUCACUGCGGGAUCACUCUCCCAGCCCUCCCAAGCGUCACCUCCUUGCUGACAGGAACACACAAAACAAGGGCUCAUGACUAACAAACAGCACCCACAACCCGCACCCAGCCCGGCCGGGUUACAAACCCUGUGGAAAGCAGGGCAGCACGCCCUAAACCUCCUCAUUAAUCCCGUAAUGGCUCGACUCGAAAUAAAGUGUUUGUCCCUCUGCACGCA